AAAAAAUAAUAUAUAUUCCUGUUUGCGCACAGCUUCCCUGUCAAACAAAUAUAUUUAUUGAAGAAUAGUAUAUCUAAAUAUCAGGUCAGGAGUUCUGAAGCGCUCAUUGAGCUGAUGAUACUGCGCAUGUGUGAUUCAGUGUGAAGCAGACUGACUCACAGCUCGCCUGAAACGAACUGGUUCUUUUGGUGAUUGAUUCUGAACUGAUUCUGUGCUUAUGUUAUAAGCGCGGGUAAACUGAAGGCUUGAAUUAAGGGCAGUCAUCGCUAAUGACAUUACAUCGAGCGCAAAAGAACCGGUGAACCGUUUUUUUUUUCAACUGGUUUAUUUGAUCGAAUUGUCCGAAAGAACCGGUUCACUUGAGCACCUGCUCCUUUGCCCCAAAAGUGCCCUUUUGUCAAAGCAAAAUUUCCUCGAAUUUUUUUUGCAAUAACAUACCCUUUUGUCAACGCCCAAUCAUAAUAUUAUUACAAUUUAUUAAUAAUAAUUUAGUCGUAAAUAAAAUGACCAAUAUGUUGACCUUUCACCUGACCGGGAAAAUUCCUCAGGCCACACGCGCAUUUUUAAUUGCUCAAAGAUAUUUUCAGAACCGUGGCAGCUGGUUUUACUCUUUUAGAAGUCUUUCCUAUAGGACCGGGGGGUGGAAACCCCCUCAUGUCUCCUCUUCAUCCCCGUGAUGUCUGCGAUUCCGUGGUUUCUUCUGUUCCUUCAGCUCUUUGAGAUCUUGGGCCUGGAUGACCCCCGUCAGCGGGUCUCCGUACUGCCAAUAGUCCUGGCAGUACUGGUUUAUGAGGCCCAUCUCAGGCUGACUGAGGAUGGUCAGAAGGUCUUUGUACUGUCCAGAGCUGGGGGUCCAGGUGCUGGAUUGGAGCGAAGAAGCCGCCGGACGGCCUGUUUCCACCAGGAUGUUGUUGACGGCCUGGUUGGUCAAGACCACCAGCUGAAGUUUGACCAAGGUGUGCUUGAAGUUCUUCUCGGUGGCUGUGCAGAUGUAGAUGCCAGAGUCUGAGGACUGGAGGGAAGGCAGUAGUAAACCUUGAUCCGUCUUCAACACGCGCCCAUCAGUACGGACCUGAAGAAACACAAAACAGCCAUGAUUAAUAAAACAGCAAACUUUGGAUGUGUCA
Long non-coding RNA from Carassius gibelio (silver crucian carp), 1127 nucleotides. RefSeq lists it as uncharacterized. The transcript has 2 exons. NCBI's taxonomy places the organism in Eukaryota, Metazoa, Chordata, Actinopteri, Cypriniformes, Cyprinidae. The record is from RefSeq and is a predicted model, not a curated record.